UAGCAAUACGAUGGAAAGUUUAGUGGCGAACGGGUGCUUAACACGUGGGCAACCUGCCAGGAAGUGGGGGAUAGCUCGCCGAAAGGCGAAUUAAUACCGCAUGUGAUUAGAGAGGACAUCCUUUCAAAAUUAAAGUCGGGGCAACCUGACGCUUCUUGUGGGGCCCGCGGCCUAUCAGCUAGUUGGUGAGGUAACGGCCCACCAAGGCUUUGACGGGUAGCUGGUCUGAGAGGACGACCAGCCACACUGGGACUGAGACACGGCCCAGACACCUACGGGUGGCAGCAGUCGAGAAUUUUUGACAAUGGGGGAAACCCUGAUCGAGCGACGCCGCGUGGAGGAUGAAGGUCUUCGGAUUGUAAACUCCUGUCAUUGGGGAACAAUGCACAAAUAUUAACUGUAUUUGUGUUGAUAGUACCCGAAGAGGAAGAGACGGCUAACUCUGUGCCAGCAGCCGCGGUAAUACAGAGGUCUCAAGCGUUGUUCGGAUUCAUUGGGCGUAAAGGGUGCGUAGGCGGCGCGGUAAGUCGGGUGUGAAAUCUCGGAGCUUAACUCCGAAACUGCAUUCGAUACUGCCGUGCUUGAGGACUGGAGAGGAGACUGGAAUUCUCGGUGUAGCA
This 620-nucleotide ribosomal RNA is filed under the name uncultured Verrucomicrobiota bacterium. RNAcentral's name for it is "bacterial SSU rRNA". It matches the Rfam family "Bacterial small subunit ribosomal RNA", at positions 77 to 680 of the family's 1533-position model. The record is from RNAcentral. Lineage: Bacteria; Pseudomonadati; Verrucomicrobiota.